Molecule: ribosomal RNA, 506 nt
Filed under: uncultured bacterium
Lineage: Bacteria
Description: partial 16S ribosomal RNA
Rfam family: Bacterial small subunit ribosomal RNA
Source: RNAcentral
GAUGAACGCUAGCUACAGGCUUAACACAUGCAAGUCGAGGGGUAACGAGAGGAAAGCUUGCUUUCCUUGUCGACGACCGGCGCACGGGUGAGUAACGCGUAUCCAACCUGCCCCCAACUAAGGAAUAACCUUGCGAAAGUAAGACUAAUACCUUAUAAUUUCCUCAGAUGUCAUCUGACGAGGAAUAAAGAUUUAUCGGUUGUGGAUGGGGAUGCGUCUGAUUAGCUUGUUGGCGGGGUAACGGCCCACCAAGGCAACGAUCAGUAGGGGUUUUGAGAGGAAGGUCCCCCACAAUGGGACUGAGAACCGGUCCAAACUCCGUCGGGAGGCAGCAGUGAGGAAUAUUGUUCAAUGGGCGGAAGCCUGAACCAGCCAAGUAGCGUGCAGGAUGACGGCCCUAUGGGUUGUAAACUGCUUUUAUACAGGAAUAAAGUUAGCCACGUGUGGUUAUUUGUAGGUACUGUAUGAAUAAGGACCGGCUAAUUCCGUGCCAGCCGCCGCAGUAA